UCUCCUCAUUAAAGAUGGGCUGAGCGAUGAGUCGUCUUCCCGGCUUGGGGAAGUAGGCCUGCAGCACUCGGUCCCUCUCUUCCCAUGAUGCUUUGCGCAGGAUACCGGUGGGCUCUCGGAUCACAAUGAACCGCUCCUGGGUCAGAAAAGAACACGCGCGGGGCAUACACAGUUCUCUGCCAGUGAUUGUACAGAGCCGGGCUCACCCCGGCGGCCCUCGACAGACAGCCUGUCAAUGAGCCGUGUGGAGACGCCCCACUCCCAGCACACCACUGAGUUCCUCUGGGCUCUGUUGACAGCCUGUUCUGGUCCGUGGCCCAUGGUUGUAUUCGGGACCCCUGCAGAAGUCCAGACUGGAGGCAGGUGUGUUGCUCAUCCACCUGAGUGCUGCACGGCUCUCCGCUCACGAGACAUGGCUGCACGAGGCUCCCUCAGUCCCUAAUGCGACAUUAUUCAGCCUCCUGCUCUCCCUCAGUCCCUAAUGCGACAUUAUUCAGCCUCCUGCUCUC
Long non-coding RNA from Conger conger (European conger), 509 nucleotides. RefSeq lists it as uncharacterized. The transcript is spliced from 3 exons. Lineage: Eukaryota; Metazoa; Chordata; Actinopteri; Anguilliformes; Congridae. The record is from RefSeq and is a predicted model, not a curated record.